RNAcentral lists this long non-coding RNA (591 nucleotides) under Capsicum annuum. RNAcentral's name for it is "long non-coding RNA (CANN_LNC015515)". Lineage: Eukaryota; Viridiplantae; Streptophyta; Magnoliopsida; Solanales; Solanaceae. The record is from RNAcentral.
UCCCUCCUUUUUUCUCUCUUCUUCGGCCAACCAGACCCCAACAACAUUUCUCCAUCAUUUCCGACCAAACAACCAUUAUCAGUUCACUAAUCCAAACGACCAACAAUGGUGAACCACCAAUAAAAUGAAAAACUUCCAAAUCUUUAUCGUUUUCAAUGAAUGUUAGAGAAUUUCACUGAUACAAAUGAAGAUCUGAUGAGAUCUAAUGGAAAACGUUUAUCUUCUCCAUUAAGUGAAUUCUACGAAAUCUAUGUAUCUACAAAUUUUCAUGUUGUUGAAUCUAAGGCGGGAUGGGAAAGAACAUGAAGGUACAUCAUAGGAUCGAUUAAAAAGUACAAAUAUUAUGUAUUAUACUAAUUUUGUGUAUAGAUACAUAAGAAUGAUAUAUUUGAUUGAAAAUAUGACAAAAACUAUGUAUUGAAAUGCAUUUUUGUAUUAGUGAUACAUAAGACUUACAUAUCAGAAUGAGAUCUGUGUUACUGAUACAUAAGAAUUUAAUUGAUUAGUUAUGUACCCAAAGGUGAUUAUCCGGCACAAUGGGAUGUAUCCGACUGCUUCAAAAUUAGGAAUUUUAUAUAAUUUAGAAAAAAG